GGCAUCCCGGGUACGGGUGCUGUCUGGUGCUGUGCAAGGUUUCGCCGCCGACGCAUUUGACUCUCUUCCGAAGGACGCCGCAGCCGAUUGGGUAGCUGUAAGCGCGACGGCCAGAGAGGCAGGUGUCUGCAGGUGGCCGGUGGCGGGAUUUUUUCUUCCGCCGGUUGUUAGCUUUCUUGCCGGUGGUCUGUCACCCGAUCGAGGUAUCACAAAGCCCCUCAUGGGGCUCCUUCCGUCUCCUCCAUAGGAUGCAGGACAUACCGUUGCAGGCAUGGACCGCCGUCCCGUCGCACUCUACCCGAGUGGAUGGGCGAACGGGACACGCCGAUGGCGAUGGCGAGCCUGUGUGGAGAAACGGUGGCUUGCGGCGAGUAGGUCGGUCACCCACCCGACCCGUCUUGAAACACGGACCAAGGAGUCUAACAUGUGCGCGAGUCGUCAGGUCUUGCUUAGGCCCGUAGGCGCAAUGAAAGCGAAGGCCUUCCUAGCGUUGGCCGAGUCGGGAUCCCUGGGUUCGUCCU
RNAcentral lists this ribosomal RNA (521 nucleotides) under Zodarion germanicum. Its description in RNAcentral is "eukaryotic LSU rRNA". The record is from RNAcentral. Lineage: Eukaryota; Metazoa; Arthropoda; Arachnida; Araneae; Zodariidae.